UCGGAUCGUAAAGCUCUGUUGUAAGAGAAGAACGAGUGUGAGAGUGGAAAGUUCACACUGUGACGGUAUCUUACCAGAAAGGGACGGCUAACUACGUGCCAGCAGCCGCGGUAAUACGUAGGUCCCGAACGUUGUCCGGAUUUAUUGGGCGUAAAGCGAGCGCAGGCGGUUAGAUAAGUCUGAAGUUAAAGGCUGUGGCUUAACCAUAGUAGGCUUUGGAAACUGUUUAACUUGAGUGCAAGAGGGGAGAGUGGAAUUCCAUGUGUAGCGGUGAAAUGCGUAGAUAUAUGGAGGAACACCGGUGGCGAAAGCGGCUCUCUGGCUUGUAACUGACGCUGAAGCUCGAAAGCGUGGGGAGCAAACAGGAUUAGAUACCCUGGUAGUCCACGCCGUAAACGAUGAGUGCUAGGUGUUAGACCCUUUCCGGGGUUUAGUGCCGCAGCUAACGCAUUAAGCAC
RNAcentral lists this ribosomal RNA (458 nucleotides) under uncultured Streptococcus sp. Its description in RNAcentral is "bacterial SSU rRNA". It matches the Rfam family "Bacterial small subunit ribosomal RNA", at positions 418 to 867 of the family's 1533-position model. The record is from RNAcentral. Lineage: Bacteria; Bacillati; Bacillota; Bacilli; Lactobacillales; Streptococcaceae.